UUUUAUAGACUGGACGUGGGCUGACGCCCCGGGGGGUCCGCCCCCCCCUCGCCCCCAGGAUACAGAGCGAUGUCACCGAGCCCUGGUGGCCCUUUUUGGGGACCACCCCAACUCCCCCUUUGGGAUCCACCGCCUGGUGGAGCUCGGCCGCGGCGCUGGGAAGCGUGCAGGGGAUUGGUACGGCCCCUCCAUCGUGGCACACAUCCUCAGGAAGGCGGUGGAGAGCUGCCCCGAGGUGUCCGGGAUGGCGGUGUACGUGGCGCAGGAUUGCACCGUGUACAAAGAGGACGUGGCUGCGCUGCUGGAAGGGGACGCUGAGGCAGCCGUCAUCCUGCUGGUCCCCGUCCGCCUGGGGGGGGAACGUCUCAACCCCGUCUACGUGGAGGGCAUGAAGGUGGGGUUUCCAACAGGGAGCUGUUGGGGAGGGUCCAGAGCUGUAGAGCUGUUCUGUUAGGAUAAGUUCCUCUCUGCUCUGCUCUUGUGAGGCCCCGUCUGCAGCACUGCGUCCAAGUCUGGAGCCCCCAGGACAAAAAAGACAGGGAGCUGUUGGGGAGGGUCCUGAGGAGCCACCAAGAUGAGCAGGGGGGCUGCAGCACCUCCACUGUGAGGACAGGCUGAGGGAGCUGGGCUUGUUCAGCAUGGAGAAGAGAAAACUGCGGGGUGAAUCAUUGCAGCCUUCAGCACCUCAAGGGAGCCUGAAAACAGGAGGGGAAUCGACUCUUGGAAAGGGUUGAUCACUGCAGGAUGAGGGGAAACGGUUUGGAGUUGAUUGAGGUUGGAUGUCAGGGAGAAAUUGUUUGCUGUGAGAGCGGUGAGGUGCUGGAACAGCUGCACAGAGAGGCUGUUGGUGCCCCGUCCAUCCUUGGAGGUGUUGGAGGCCAGGUUGGAUGGGGCCCUGGGCAGCCUGGGCUGGCAGGAAAUGGGGAGGUUGGUGGCCCUGCAUGCAGCAGGGGGUUGGAGAUUCAUCAUCCUUGAGGUCCCUUCCAACCCAACCAUUCUGUGAUUCUGUGGGGACACCAUGGGGACACCCAGGGGACAGUGGGGGGGGGUCCCAAUCUCUGCAUCACAGGAACACUGGGUGACAUGGGGACACUCGAAGGGGCACCCAGGGACACUGGGGGUCCCAAGUCCAUGACAUGGGGACACCCAGGGGACAGUGGGGGGGGAUCCCAAGCCCAUGAACGUGGGGACACCCAAGGGACACCCAGGGGACACCCAGGGGGACACCCAGGGGACAGUGGGGGGGGUCCCAAUCUCUGCAUCAUGGGAACA
Molecule: long non-coding RNA, 1272 nt
Filed under: Phasianus colchicus (ring-necked pheasant)
Lineage: Eukaryota; Metazoa; Chordata; Aves; Galliformes; Phasianidae
Description: lncRNA (ENSPCLG00000016738.1)
Source: RNAcentral